AUUGAACGCUGGCGGCAGGCCUAACACAUGCAAGUCGAGCGGAUGAAGGGAGCUUGCUCCUGGAUUCAGCGGCGGACGGGUGAGUAAUGCCUAGGAAUCUGCCUGGUAGUGGGGGAUAACGUCCGGAAACGGGCGCUAAUACCGCAUCCGUCCUGAGGGAGAAAGUGGGGGAUCUUCGGACCUCACGCUAUCAGAUGAGCCUAGGUCGGAUUAGCUAGUUGGUGGGGUAAAGGCCUACCAAGGCGACGAUCCGUAACUGGUCUGAGAGGAUGAUCAGUCACACUGGAACUGAGACACGGUCCAGACUCCUACGGGAGGCAGCAGUGGGGAAUAUUGGACAAUGGGCGAAAGCCUGAUCCAGCCAUGCCGCGUGUGUGAAGAAGGUCUUCGGAUUGUAAAGCACUGUAAGUUGGGAGGAAGGGCAGUAAGUUAAUACCUGGCUGUUUUGACGUUACCAACAGAAUAAGCACCGGCUAACUUCGUG
Molecule: ribosomal RNA, 484 nt
Filed under: uncultured bacterium
Lineage: Bacteria
Description: partial 16S ribosomal RNA
Rfam family: Bacterial small subunit ribosomal RNA
Source: RNAcentral